GACGAACGCUGGCGGCGUGCCUAAUACAUGCAAGUAGAACGCUGAAGGAGGAGCUUGCUUCUCUGGAUGAGUUGCGAACGGGUGAGUAACGCGUAGGUAACCUGCCUGGUAGCGGGGGAUAACUAUUGGAAACGAUAGCUAAUACCGCAUAAUAGUAGAUGUUGCAUGACAUUUGCUUAAAAGGUGCAAUUGCAUCACUACCAGAUGGACCUGCGUUGUAUUAGCUAGUUGGUGAGGUAACGGCUCACCAAGGCGACGAUACAUAGCCGACCUGAGAGGGUGAUCGGCCACACUGGGACUGAGACACGGCCCAGACUCCUACGGGAGGCAGCAGUAGGGAAUCUUCGGCAAUGGACGGAAGUCUGACCGAGCAACGCCGCGUGAGUGAAGAAGGUUUUCGGAUCGUAAAGCUCUGUUGUAAGAGAAGAACGAGUGUGAGAGUGGAAAGUUCACA
RNAcentral lists this ribosomal RNA (454 nucleotides) under Streptococcus mitis. RNAcentral describes it as "bacterial SSU rRNA". It matches the Rfam family "Bacterial small subunit ribosomal RNA", at positions 28 to 468 of the family's 1533-position model. The record is from RNAcentral. Lineage: Bacteria; Bacillati; Bacillota; Bacilli; Lactobacillales; Streptococcaceae.